Molecule: long non-coding RNA, 539 nt
Filed under: Sorghum bicolor (sorghum)
Lineage: Eukaryota; Viridiplantae; Streptophyta; Magnoliopsida; Poales; Poaceae
Description: long non-coding RNA (SBIC_LNC009477)
Source: RNAcentral
UGACCUUAUUUAGAUACGAAAAGAUUUUGAAUUUCGCUACUAGAGCACUUUCGUUUGUUUUGGCAAAUAUUGUCUAAUUAUGAACUAACUAAGAUCAAAAAAUUCAUUUCGCGAUUUACAGUUAAACUAUGUAAUUAGUUUUUAUUUUUAUUUUUAUUUAAUGUUUCAUGCAUGUGCCGAAAGAUUCGAUGUGUUAGGAAAUCUUUAAAACUUUUUAAUUUUUGGGAUGAACUAAACAAGGCCUAUGACAUUCAAAAAAAAAUUUAGAUUUUCAUACCGUUUUAUUUUCGUUUUAUUUUAUAAAUAUUAUUUAAUUAUAAAGUAACUAGUUUUAAAAAAAAUUAUUUCGUAAUUUCUAGAUAAACUGUGCAAUUAGUAUUAUCUAUAUUUAUAUUUAAAACUCUAUACUUAUAUCGUAAAAUUCGAUAUAAAAGAAUUUUUUUAAAUUUUUUUUUGUUUUUAAGUGGACUAAAUAAGGCCUGUAUACAAUGACUAAACCCCGGGCCACGUCAUCGAGGAGCAUAUAGUAUAGUAGUAUA